Phragmites australis (common reed) is the source of this 2022-nucleotide RNA transcript. RefSeq lists it as uncharacterized. The record is from RefSeq and is a predicted model, not a curated record. Lineage: Eukaryota; Viridiplantae; Streptophyta; Magnoliopsida; Poales; Poaceae. The transcript has 19 exons.
GUGGGUGGGCGAACCGAAUCCGCACGAGGACACGUCUGCGCAGUCGCAGCCGCGCAAAAACCACCGGGCACCGGCGCACGUACGCCGCAUGCUCCACCACCACCACCACCCUCCCCUCUCCUCCUCCAAAGCCCAAAUCCCUUCACAUUGCUCAACCCGCCCAACCUCCACUUUCCCAAUCCGAAUCCAACUCCUCACCCACCGCCGCCUCCCCAAUGGCGUCGCCGGGCGCCGCCGCCUUCUCCGCCGCGCUCGUAACCGAAGACUUCCCGUGGGUGGAGAGGGAGGAGGAGAUGGGGAUGGCUCCCGACAAGUUCCGCGAGGUGUUCGACCUCGCGCAGCGCGGGGCGCGAGCCUUCCGGGAGCGCCGCUUCGACGAGGCAAUUUCCUUUUACUCAAAAGCUCUAAAUUUGAGACCAGGAGAUCCCAUUAUCCUUAGCAACCGAAGUUCUGCUUUCUGUAUGAUAAGUCAACUGUUGAGGGAGAGAUCAGCAGCUGACUCUGAGUAUCAGCCAUUGAAUGGCCUUGAUCCUACAACACAUGCAGAGUUAGCUCUGAAGGAUGUGGAGAAGAUACUAGCAAGCAACAGUAAUUCUCCUAGAUCAUAUAUUCUCAAGGCAUACGCCCUUAUUUUGCUGGAGCGUUACCACGCGGCACGUGAGGCCCUUCUUGCUGGUCUUCAAGUUGAUCCUCUCAGCCAUAUGCUGCAAACCUGUCUUAGCAAUCUGGAUAGAAAUACAAAUAUUGCAGCUGGGGCAAGGCGUGCAAGGUUAGAUAGGACUGAUGAUUUUGAGUGCACAUUAUGUUUCAAGCUAUUGUUUGAGCCAGUCACUACUCCGUGUGGACAUUCAUUUUGUCGCUCUUGCCUACAUCAGUCAAUGGAUCAUGGCAAUAAGUGCCCCAUGUGUCGGACAGUGCUAUUUAUUGGUCCAAGAACCUACCCUAUAAGUGUAACAUUGAGCAACAUAAUUCAGAGAAAUUUUCCAGAAGAAUAUGCUGAGAGGAGGUCAGAACUUGAGACUAUGACAUAUGCAGGCCUUGAUUUGAUGCCUCUCUUUGUUAUGGAUGUUGUACUUCCCUGCCAAAAGAUGGCCCUGAACAUAUUUGAGCCUCGCUACAGGCUGAUGGUAAGGAGGAUAAUGGAAGGGAAUCAUCGAAUGGGAAUGGUUGCUCUUGAUUCAGCAACGGGUACUGUAGCUGAAUGUGGUUGUGAGGUGGAAAUUUUGGAGUGCGAACCACUUCCAGAUGGACGUUUUUAUUUAGAGGUUGAAGGUACACGCAGGUUUCGUAUCUUGCGAUCAUGGGACCAAGAUGGGUAUCGAGUUGCUGAAGUUGAAUGGUUGCAAGAUAUACCUCUGCCAGAAGGAUCGCAAGAGAGAAGAGAUCUAAUCGAAAUGGCCAAUGGGGCAUCAGAGCUGGCCAGGGGAUAUAUUAGGCGUGCUAGAGAAACAGUACGGCCCGUGAGGCGAACUAGACAUUUGGAUCUUGAAAGCAUGCCUGGGCCACAUGAUCCUGAAAAAUUUAGUUUCUGGCUAGUCAACUUGAUAAAUUUGAGGCCAUCAGACAGGCUAGAUCUUUUAAGUCUCCGUGAUACUCGGGAGAGGAUUUCCCGCAGCCUGAGAUUGCUGGGUGAUGCAGAACAAGGUUGCCGUGUACAAUGACUAAGCUGUUGUCCAAGCAUCAUAUUCCACUUUUCACAGGUCAAUUUAUUAUCCUAGAGGGGUUGGGGAUGGGAGUCUCUGCUAGGGUUCUUAUGUACGCUGCCACAAUUUUUUUUAAAACGAAACCAGGAGGGAGGCCCCUACUGAGAUCAUCAUUUAAAAGAUAGUGUUAUGUACAGGAAGAAAGAGAAUUUACUCGGCCAAUAUUGCGUUCAAACUUUCAAGUGUUUGUUUGCCCGCUGAAUAAUCCGUGCAAGUUCAGCCUUGAAUUCUCUCUACCACGCAGUGGUAGAAAGUUGACCACCACUGAAAUUAAUGUUCUUUCUGUGAGUCCAAACACACCAACAAAGCCAGCACAAUG